GCUGUGCUCUUUCAGAGACCGUACCGACUGGAAUCUAGCGACCGCUGACCGUUUUGAAGACUGUACGCGGCCGGCAGCGGGCGGUCCCAUCCUCGCCUCCGGCUAGAGAGGGGGAGACCGCGACAGGGGACCGCGCGUCCCCCGUCCCGUUGUGCCGGCUCGCAGAGUGCGGACGCCGGUGUGUUGAGUGUGUUGUGUCCAGUGCCGUUUGGCGUCUCCUCUUUCGAUCCGACCAUGUAGGUUUCCGCCAGUUUCUGCUGUGUGACAAUCAGUGCAUUUAUCCUAGUUAUUGCAGUGAUAAGUUAAAAAAAAAAACUGGCGCUGAAACGUUCUCUUCAAAAUGGUGGCGAUCACCGUCGUCACUCACUUGCCUGCGGCAAAGAGAAAAAGUGCUGCCGGUGGCGUCAUGUAGCGUCAUGACUUGAAACAGGGCCCGGAGUGCGAGGCUCGACAGGCGACUCAACCCCCACGGCCCUGACUCAACCGCUCAAGAUGUGAAGAUGGCGGAGACUGAGCGUCGGCCGAGGUUGUGUGACGUGAAUGUGAAGUGUAACUGACUCGAAAAAAGUGAAGAGCUGUGCAUAUAUCAUAGAAAUACAUUUUCCCCCGAA
Molecule: long non-coding RNA, 611 nt
Filed under: Amphibalanus amphitrite
Lineage: Eukaryota; Metazoa; Arthropoda; Thecostraca; Balanomorpha; Balanidae
Description: uncharacterized LOC122389535
Source: RNAcentral